AGUUGCAGGAAGGAGACAGGCAGUUCAGGAGGUGGCACUGCUGUGUGUGAGCUGUCUGUGUUUUCCUUCUCAG
Gorilla gorilla gorilla (western lowland gorilla) is the source of this 73-nucleotide microRNA precursor. The record is from Ensembl. NCBI's taxonomy places the organism in Eukaryota, Metazoa, Chordata, Mammalia, Primates, Hominidae.